Acanthosepion pharaonis is the source of this 114-nucleotide non-coding RNA. NCBI's taxonomy places the organism in Eukaryota, Metazoa, Mollusca, Cephalopoda, Sepiida, Sepiidae. The record is from the annotation of a GenBank genome assembly.
UUACGGCCACAUCUCGUUGAAACACCGAUUCCCAUACGAUCAACGAAGAUAAGCAACGUCAAACCUAGUCAGUACCUAGAUGGGUGACCUGUUGGGAAUACCAAGUGUUGUAAG